UUCUUUAUGUUUAUCCAAUUUUUUGGUCUUUCCUUUUGAUUUUGCAACAUGCAUGACUUCUUUCAUCUUCAAUGGGGUAUUACCAGACUUCGACAUACCCUCUUGUUGAUUAAUUUGAGAUUUAGCAAUGGACCCUGAAAUUUCUUGGAAAUCCUGAGUUAAAACCCAAAGAAAAAGAUGAAAAAUCAUCCAAAAACUCUUGAUUCGAUUGUAUACCUAUAGUGAUUCUCUUAGAAGGUGUUUCUUCUUCAUCCAUGAUUUUGAAUGUCUAAAAUCAAAAAACUGAAAAGGAACAAAAAAAUCCACAGUUUUAUACAAAAACAAAAACAAUGAAAUAAGUAUGAAACCGGAAAAACAAUUACCUGAAAAAUCUGAGAGAACAAAUUGAGAGGGAGAGACUGAAAUUUUGAAUUUUGG
This 417-nucleotide long non-coding RNA is filed under the name Solanum tuberosum (potato). RNAcentral's name for it is "long non-coding RNA (STUB_LNC009503)". Lineage: Eukaryota; Viridiplantae; Streptophyta; Magnoliopsida; Solanales; Solanaceae. The record is from RNAcentral.